UGAAAAAGCAGGGCCUGGGUUUUAUCGA
RNAcentral lists this small RNA (28 nucleotides) under Bombyx mori (domestic silkworm). Its description in RNAcentral is "ovarian small RNA-3499". The record is from RNAcentral. Lineage: Eukaryota; Metazoa; Arthropoda; Insecta; Lepidoptera; Bombycidae.